AUUGAACGCUGGCGGCAGGCCUAACACAUGCAAGUCGAACGGUAGCACAGAGAGCUUGCUCUCGGGUGACGAGUGGCGGACGGGUGAGUAAUGUCUGGGAAACUGCCCGAUGGAGGGGGAUAACUACUGGAAACGGUAGCUAAUACCGCAUAACGUCGCAAGACCAAAGUGGGGGACCUUCGGGCCUCACACCAUCGGAUGUGCCCAGAUGGGAUUAGCUAGUAGGUGGGGUAAUGGCUCACCUAGGCGACGAUCCCUAGCUGGUCUGAGAGGAUGACCAGCCACACUGGAACUGAGACACGGUCCAGACUCCUACGGGAGGCAGCAGUGGGGAAUAUUGCACAAUGGGCGCAAGCCUGAUGCAGCCAUGCCGCGUGUAUGAAGAAGGCCUUCGGGUUGUAAAGUACUUUCAGCGGGGAGGAAGGCGGUGAAGUUAAUAACUUCACCGAUUGACGUUACCCGCAGAAGAAGCACCGGCCAACUACGUGCCAGCAGCCGCAGUAA
Molecule: ribosomal RNA, 504 nt
Filed under: uncultured bacterium
Lineage: Bacteria
Description: partial 16S ribosomal RNA
Rfam family: Bacterial small subunit ribosomal RNA
Source: RNAcentral